RNAcentral lists this unclassified non-coding RNA (263 nucleotides) under plant metagenome. RNAcentral's name for it is "partial contains small subunit ribosomal RNA, internal transcribed spacer 1, and 5.8S ribosomal RNA". The record is from RNAcentral.
UUUCCGUAGGUGAACCUGCGGAAGGAUCAUUAUUGUAUAACCGAGAUGCGAGGGCUGUCGCUGACCCGAAAGGUCGUGCACGCCCGAGUGCCCUCACACGCAUCCAUCUCACCCCUAUGUGCACCACCGCGUGGGUCCCCCUUUGGCUUGUUCGGAGGGGGGCUUACGUUUUCACACAAACUUUGUAUGCAGUGUAGAAUGUAUUUUUUGUUUUUGCGAUCACGUAAUCAAUACAACUUUCAACAACGGAUCUCUUGGCUCUC